GCCCACGUAGCUCAGUCGGUAGAGCGCUGGACUUUUAAUCCAGUGGUCAAGGGUUCGAGUCCCUUCGUGGGUG
Molecule: transfer RNA, 73 nt
Filed under: Verrucomicrobiales bacterium
Lineage: Bacteria; Pseudomonadati; Verrucomicrobiota; Verrucomicrobiia; Verrucomicrobiales
Description: tRNA-Lys
Rfam family: tRNA
About the family: Transfer RNA (tRNA) molecules are approximately 80 nucleotides in length. Their secondary structure includes four short double-helical elements and three loops (D, anti-codon, and T loops). Further hydrogen bonds mediate the characteristic L-shaped molecular structure. tRNAs have two regions of fundamental functional importance: the anti-codon, which is responsible for specific mRNA codon recognition, and the 3' end, to which the tRNAs corresponding amino acid is attached (by aminoacyl-tRNA synthetases). tRNAs cope with the degeneracy of the genetic code in two manners: having more than one tRNA (with a specific anti-codon) for a particular amino acid; and 'wobble' base-pairing, i.e. permitting non-standard base-pairing at the 3rd anti-codon position.
Source: RNAcentral